UAACACACAUCUUCACGGUUAUAUGUAAAAACAAUUAAUUUUUUCGAGGUCAAGAUUUAUAAUUUAACCGAGAGAGAGAGACACACACUCACUCUGUUUGGUGUUUUAAAAAGCACUUAUUCUUCAAACCCUCCUCUGUUGAGAAGAAACAAAUCUGAGGUUUCAUUUCUCUCAUCUGAAAGAUCAAAACACAAUGAGAACUCAGCUUUUGCUUCUUGGUUUGUUCUUCUGUUUCCUUCUCUUAAGUGCUUCUUUCAUGGACACUGCCAUGGCUGAUUCAGACCGGUGCACGAGACCGUGUAGGAAGAGGUGUUCGAAAGCGAAGCUGAAGCGUCGGUGCAUGAAGUAUUGUAGAAUAUGUUGCAGCAAAUGUAAAUGUGUGCCAGGGAGUUAUGGGAAGCACCAUUGCCCUUGCUAUAGCCAUGUUCACACCAUUAGAGGCAGGGCCAAAUGCCCUUAAACUUUUAAGAGACCGUUUGCAUUUAUUGUCUGUCCCUUAUUAUUAUGAAAUCAAAUAAUAUAAGCCAACCUAAAAUAGUACUAUAGAAAUGAAAUGAGACCAAAAUAAUUUUGUGUCUGAUAUGAAUAUUAAAUGCUUCAAAGUUUGAAUUGUGAGAUUUGGUGUGCUUUUUUUUUUUUUUUUUUUAAUAAUAAUAAUAAACAAUGUGUAUUUAUGAUUUGCCUU
This is a long non-coding RNA of Cucumis melo (muskmelon), 685 nucleotides long. RefSeq lists it as uncharacterized. The transcript has 2 exons. Lineage: Eukaryota; Viridiplantae; Streptophyta; Magnoliopsida; Cucurbitales; Cucurbitaceae. The record is from RefSeq and is a predicted model, not a curated record.